Molecule: ribosomal RNA, 200 nt
Filed under: uncultured bacterium
Lineage: Bacteria
Description: partial 16S ribosomal RNA
Rfam family: Bacterial small subunit ribosomal RNA
Source: RNAcentral
AGAUUUGAUCCUGGCUCAGAUUGAACGCUGGCGGCGUGCCUAACACAUGCAAGUCGAACGAGAAAGUGGAGCAAUCCAUGAGUACAGUGGCGACCGGGUGAGUAACACGUGACCAACCUGCCCUCGAGUGGGGAAUAACUCCGGGAAACCGGAGCUAAUACCGCAUAACAUCGCAAGAUCAAAGCCGCAAGGCGCUUGAG